RNAcentral lists this ribosomal RNA (248 nucleotides) under uncultured bacterium. Its description in RNAcentral is "partial small subunit ribosomal RNA". It matches the Rfam family "Bacterial small subunit ribosomal RNA", at positions 26 to 286 of the family's 1533-position model. The record is from RNAcentral.
AGAAUCAACGCUGGCGGCGUGCCUAACACAUGCAAGUCGAACGAGAAAGUGGAGCAAUCCAUGAGUAAAGUGGCGACCGGGUGAGUAACACGUGACUAACCUACCUUCGAGUGGGGGAUAACAUCGGGAAACCGAUGCUAAUACCGCAUAACAUCGCAAGAUCAAAGCAGCAAUGCGCUGGAAGAGGGGGGUCGCGGCUGAUUAGCUAGGUUGGCGGGGUAACGGCCCACCAAGGCGAAGAUCGGGUA